GACGAACGCUGGCGGCGUGCCUAACACAUGCAAGUCGAACGGGGUAAUCCUUCGGGGUUACUUAGUGGCGAACGGGUGAGUAACGCGUGAGGAACCUGCCUCUCAGUGGGGGACAACAGUUGGAAACGACUGCUAAUACCGCAUAAUAUUUCCGGACCGCAUGAUCUGGAAAUCAAAGCUUUAUGUGCUGAGAGAUGGCCUCGCGUCUGAUUAGCUAGUUGGUGGGGUAACGGCCCACCAAGGCGACGAUCAGUAGCCGGUCUGAGAGGAUGAACGGCCACAUUGGGACUGAGAUACGGCCCAGACUCCUACGGGAGGCAGCAGUGGGGAAUAUUGGGCAAUGGGGGAAACCCUGACCCAGCAACGCCGCGUGAAGGAAGAAGGCC
Molecule: ribosomal RNA, 386 nt
Filed under: uncultured bacterium
Lineage: Bacteria
Description: bacterial SSU rRNA
Rfam family: Bacterial small subunit ribosomal RNA
Source: RNAcentral